CUCGUAGGCGGCCAACUAAGUCAGACGUGAAAUCCCCAGGCUCAACCUGGGAACUGCGUCUGAUACUGGAUGGCUUGAAUUCGGGAGAGGGAUGCAGAAUUCCAGGUGUAGCGGUGAAAUGCGUAGAUAUCUGGAGGAAUACCGGUGGCGAAGGCGGCAUCCUGGACCGACAUUGACGCUGAGGAGCGAAAGCUAGGGGAGCAAACG
Molecule: ribosomal RNA, 207 nt
Filed under: uncultured bacterium
Lineage: Bacteria
Description: partial 16S ribosomal RNA
Rfam family: Bacterial small subunit ribosomal RNA
Source: RNAcentral